CGGGGCGUAGCUCAAUUGGCAGAGCGCGUGGUUUGGGACCACGAGGUUCCCGGUUCGAGACCGGGCGCCCCGA
RNAcentral lists this transfer RNA (73 nucleotides) under Elusimicrobiota bacterium. RNAcentral describes it as "Elusimicrobia bacterium tRNA-Pro". It matches the Rfam family "tRNA". Rfam says of the family: Transfer RNA (tRNA) molecules are approximately 80 nucleotides in length. Their secondary structure includes four short double-helical elements and three loops (D, anti-codon, and T loops). RNAcentral also lists the same sequence under 1 other name. Lineage: Bacteria; Pseudomonadati; Elusimicrobiota. The record is from RNAcentral.